AGGACCAAGGGAAGGAGGGAAGGAGAGUUAUCUAGUCAGUUUGGCAUCAACAAGCUGAGAACCCAUUUCUCAUUUUCAUGGACAACUAAGUUGUAGCCAGAUCCCUAUUUUCCUGAGUUUAGUGUGUGUGUGUGUGUGUGUGUGUGUGUGUGUGUGUGUGUGUGUGUGUCUCUCAGAGACAACACUCAAGAAUUCUGAAAGAGACCAGACGUCUGGACCCUUUUACCAGAUUCUCAUUUCUGUUGGCUUUUCUGGGAAUCAACUGGGAAAGCAUUCUGAGGUGAGAGACACAUCAGAGGCAGUGAGUGAGGUAACUUGGAAAAGAUCACUGAGUUCAGGUCCCAUUUCUGCUAUUUACAAGCUGUGACCUCUCUUAGCCUCUGGGAGAUGAAGUGGCUAGAUGAGAGAACCUAGGUCUUUGCAGCUUUUCAUUCCUGUGAUGACCUGUAUGUUUAUGAAAAUAUAUGAAAAGGAAAUCCUAUUUUAAAUUCAUCAGGAUAGUUAUUAUUUAAAGAAACCCGUAUAUAGUGGGAAUCAUCACUGCCUAAUAUGUAGUCAGUCAAAACUUAUGUUGAGUUUUCUCAAAGUAAGGCACACACUUAACUAUUCAGGAUGUGUGCUGUUGUUGUUUUGGUCUGUUGAGGAUUAAGGGACAGGACUUUAGUUCUGAGUCUUAUAAUUUACAGCUUGUUGAAUUCCCCCUUUAGUGCAUCUCCUCUCCCCUUUGCCCUCCCCUCCUCUCCAACCUCAGCAUCCUGUGCAUUUUUCAUCUGUACUGCUUAUCAGAUUACUUUAUAGUUGUUUGCUUACAUUUCUCUCUGUCCUUCCCAGAGGCUGGAAACCACGUCCUAUUCAUCUUUACUUUUAUAAAACAUUGAGGAGAAGAAAGAUGGUGAGAUGUCAGGAAAUAGGCAGCAGUAGAGUCAAAGAUGGCCCAGGGAAGCCCGGGUGGCUCCGUCGGUUGAGCUUCUGACUGUUGAUUUUGGUUCAGGUUGUGAUCUCAGGGUUGUGGGAUCAAGCCC
Molecule: long non-coding RNA, 1022 nt
Organism: Herpailurus yagouaroundi (jaguarundi)
Lineage: Eukaryota; Metazoa; Chordata; Mammalia; Carnivora; Felidae
Exons: 3
Source: RefSeq, a predicted model, not a curated record